GUGUGCCUGGAGGGCGGCUGCCGUGUGCACCGCACCCCGGUGCUGGUGUUAGGACAACGCCCGCUGGUGCGCUGCCGCUUUUUGCAGAGGGUGCGUUUCGAUCUAGUUUGAUAUGUUUCCAGAGAGCUCGGGAGGGCCCCUCACAACCGCGUCCAGCUGGGGGCACAUUCUUCACGGAACCACUGGCUUGAGAACAUUCCCUCAGCCUUCCGGGACUUAAAGGAGCAGACAUGUAGAGGAAACAGGAAGUCAGAUAUUUCUGGCUCCCACGAGCAAUCAGGGACCACACAGGAAGGAAUUCAUCCCAUCGGAAAUCAGCCUGGUCCCAAGAUCGCUGGUCAUAGCGCCAUCGCAAGUUGAUGAUUAUCCAGCAUCAGGGUUGAUGGGAGAUUUUCUGAGUGACACAGCCAGCUGGAAACAAUAUCUACCGAACAUGACCAUGGGCUCCAAGCAUCCAGAGACUUCACAGGCAUGCAUCUCGACCAUCCUGAAUGUCAGUCAGGCAGAAGCACCCUGAAUCCUGUAACCUCUCCUUAGGAAGAAUGGAAUUUCCCCAAAUAGAGGAGUCAAGCUAAAUGAAGGAACCCUCAGGUACAUGGACCACAGUGCGUGCUGUGGCAUCCGAGCGGCACAUGCGUCCCCAGAGAGUGUCCUCCUCCAUGUGUCCUCAGCUGGAACACCCACGGACGGAUGAUGAAACCCUAACCCUGGGCAACAGGCCCAGCCAGUGUUUUUAAAAAGUGCUCGCUUUCUUCCAGUGAGAGGUCAUGGCAUUGGAGAAACAGUUUCAGUGUCUCUCCACUAAUCCAAGUAUUUAAAAACGUCUUCCAGAAUGAUUUUAUAAUUUUCUCCAAUAUGAUCUUUAAAAAAAUUAUUUCUGUUUUGUUGUUAUUUAAAAUGCUUUUAGAAUUUCAUUUUAUGCUUGUUACCAGUGUCCAGAAAUGGAAUUUUUCUACUGAAUUAAUUUUUAAACAGAAACAAAAACAUAAAGUUGUACGUGUCGCUGGGGUGUCCUGCGCUGUUUCAGUCCAGGUGUACACUGUAUAACUCUUAACCUAGGGCAGGCAGGUCUGUCCCUCCAGCAUUUGUCACUUCUCUGUGGACAGAACACUCAGAACCCUGUGCUACAGCGUUGCGAGAUCGAGCAGCCAGAGCCUGUGAGUCCCAUUGAACCGAGCCAUGGGCCCACGGGCCAGCCUCCCUCCUGCAUCUCCUCUCUGCCUGCCCUGGGCCCACGUCCGCCUUCCACUCCCGGCCACCAUGAGCUCCACGUCUCCGUCUACACAGGAGUGAGGUCAUUUGCUUUCUGGUUCCUAUGGCACAGACACAACACGUAUUAUCCCUCUGUUCCCACGCGACUCGGAGUGGGUUUAACGUAAGACUUUCCCGCUGGCUCGAACCACUGGUGAGCCAUGCGUGAGUGCCCCGUCAGGCGCCUUGGACCGCCGCAGUACAAAUGGAUCUAAUGGCUCUUACCAGUCUUUUUACCACUAAAACUAAUAAGAAGCUGCCCAGUGGGACAGUCAUGUACAUAGCACAGGUGGCUCCAGUCAUCUGGCAGUGAGACACACAAAUGAUAGCCCUGUUGGGAAUAUGUUGAA
Heterocephalus glaber (naked mole-rat) is the source of this 1601-nucleotide non-coding RNA. The record is from RefSeq and is a predicted model, not a curated record. Lineage: Eukaryota; Metazoa; Chordata; Mammalia; Rodentia; Bathyergidae.